CCUACGGGAGGCAGCAGUGGGGAAUAUUGCACAAUGGGGGAAACCCUGAUGCAGCGACGCCGCGUGAGUGAAGAAGUAUUUCGGUAUGUAAAGCUCUAUCAGCAGGGAAGAAAAUGACGGUACCUGAUUAAGAAGCCCCGGCUAACUACGUGCCAGCAGCCGCGGUAAUACGUAGGGGGCAAGCGUUAUCCGGAUUUACUGGGUGUAAAGGGAGGGUAGACGGCAGCACAAGUCUGGAGUGAAAUGGCGGGGCCCAACCCCGGGACUGCAUUGGAAACUGUUGAACUGGAGUACAGGAGAGGUAAGCGGAAUUCCUAGUGUAGCGGUGAAAUGCGUAGAUAUUAGGAGGAACACCAGUGGCGAAGGCGGCUUACUGGACUGUAACUGACGUUGAGGCUCGAAAGCGUGGGGAGCAAACAGGAUUAGAUACCCCGGUAGUC
Molecule: ribosomal RNA, 440 nt
Filed under: uncultured bacterium
Lineage: Bacteria
Description: partial 16S ribosomal RNA
Rfam family: Bacterial small subunit ribosomal RNA
Source: RNAcentral